AUCACUAAUGCAUAAUAGUGCUGUAGAUAGGCUUCAUAAAGCAUCACUAAUGCAUACUAAAUGACACAGUUAUCCCAGAGGGAAAUAAUGUUUACAAAAGAAACUUGGGUGGAACUCUUUGGAAGAAUAAAAGACUCAACCCAAAACAUGGCCGGUCGUGUGUGUCUUUUUUCUUUAAGGAAUAGUUAGAGAAUAACAUUCAUGUGUCUAUAAGGCACAAUAUUGUGCUAUAUAAAUAAAAUUCAUUAUUAUUUUUAUUAUUAUAAACCAUGCUGUGUUUGUAAGUGUCAUUGUGGCCAUCUUAUUGAGCUCCGCAACGAGAGUUCAGUGGCAGAGGAAAAACCUCCUUGUAGAAUGAUAUGUUGGCCACUAGAGAGCGCACAGGCUUCAUGUGCUUACCCGUUUACCUGAAUCAUGUAGACCCAUCUGGACAUGAACGGCAAGCUUGCUCUGUUCAACUUUGAAUUGGUAUUUACAGCUGUUGUAUAAAUAGUUACAUAACCUAGAGUAGUUCAACAGUAAAAAUAUAUUUAUUGUAAUAUGAUGCUUUUGUUUUUAUCUGAUGUAGGCUACACCACACACCUAUAGUAGGCCUAUAGCUUAAUUUGUGUCUCCGAACUAGUCCCACUUGCUGAUAGAGGGCGUAAAUACCCUGGGCUGUAUCUCUUAAAUGAAUGAAGCUAAAUACUUCAGAUUGCCGUUGAAAGAAAAACACGCUUUAAGAAGUCUGUUGCCUCACUUGAAGUGGAUGGUGUCCAGAGACGGGACGCUGUAGCUUACUGCCGGCACGCAGGUUGUGUUGUAACUGUAAGCCGAUUACUGAUACUGUCAAAGUAGCCUGCGCUGGUUGAUGUCCUGUUCGCUUGAUCAAGACGUGUCUCACCGAGGUUUUUUAAUUGUUUUUUUUAAUUAUUAUUAACUUGAGCAAAAUGCCACUUUUUAUUAACCGGGAUCAGAUAUUUGCACACCAGGUGCACCUGUUGGAGCAUAAGCUUAGGAGUAAAGAGGAGCGAAUCUUGGAGCUGGAGACCGAGAAUGCUCUUCUGCACCUGAGGUUGGCAGAGUGUCUGGGUCGCCUGCGUUGGGUCCAUGAGGGUCAACGUGAGACCCAGAGGCAGAGCCAGCUCCAGAGGACUGUCCAGAAGAGCGUCCACCUCGCCCUGGGCAAACUGCUGUCCCAAGUGCAGGUGCUCAAGCAGGAUCUGAGGGAGGUGUGUGUGUGUGUGUGUGUGUGUGUGUGUGUGUGUGAGUGUGCGCAGGUGCUGAAGCAGGAUCUGAGGGAGGUGUUUGGCGUGUUGUGUGCAGGUGUUCAAGCAGGAUCUGAGGGAGGUGUCUGUGUGUGUGUGUGUGCGUGUGCGUGUGCGUGUGCGUGUG
This is a long non-coding RNA of Clupea harengus (Atlantic herring), 1374 nucleotides long. NCBI's taxonomy places the organism in Eukaryota, Metazoa, Chordata, Actinopteri, Clupeiformes, Clupeidae. The record is from Ensembl.